RNAcentral lists this ribosomal RNA (435 nucleotides) under uncultured Desulfobulbus sp. RNAcentral describes it as "bacterial SSU rRNA". It matches the Rfam family "Bacterial small subunit ribosomal RNA", at positions 948 to 1382 of the family's 1533-position model. Lineage: Bacteria; Pseudomonadati; Thermodesulfobacteriota; Desulfobulbia; Desulfobulbales; Desulfobulbaceae. The record is from RNAcentral.
AAUUCGAUGCAACGCGAGAACUACCUGGUCUUGACAUCCCGGAGACCCUUAGGAAACUAGGGGUGCUUCCAUCUGGAAGAAUCUGGAGACAGGUGCUGCAUGGCUGUCGUCAGCUCGUGUCGUGAGAUGUUGGGUUAAGUCCCGCAACGAGCGCAACCCUUGCCUUUAGUUGCCAGCAGUUCGGCUGGGCACUCUAAAGGGACUGCCGGUGUUAAACCGGAGGAAGUGGGGAUGACGCCAAGUCCUCAUGGCCUUUAUGACCAGGGCUACACACGUACUACAAUGGCCGAUACAAAGGGCAGCGACACUGCGAGGUGAAGCCAAUCCCGUAAAAUCGGUCUCAGUCCGGAUUGGAGUCUGCAACUCGACUCCAUGAAGUUGGAAUCGCUAGUAAUCGUGGAUCAGCAUGCCACGGUGAAUACGUUCCCGGGCCUU